Molecule: ribosomal RNA, 465 nt
Filed under: uncultured bacterium
Lineage: Bacteria
Description: partial 16S ribosomal RNA
Rfam family: Bacterial small subunit ribosomal RNA
Source: RNAcentral
CUACGGGGCGCUGCAGUGAGGAAUAUUGCGCAAUGGGGGCAACCCUGACGCAGCGACGCCGCGUGGAUGAUGAAGGCCUUCGGGUCGUAAAAUCCUGUCAGAUGGAAAGAAGUGCGAGGUGGUUAAUACCCAUUUCGUUUGACGGUACCAUCAGAGGAAGCACCGGCUAACUCCGUGCCAGCAGCCGCGGUAAUACGGAGGGUGCAAGCGUUGUUCGGAAUUACUGGGCGUAAAGCGCGCGUAGGCGGUUUGUUAAGUCAGAUGUGAAAGCCCACGGCUCAACCGUGGACGUGCAUUUGAAACUGGCAGACUUGAGUAUUGGAGGGGGUGGUGGAAUUCCCGGUGUAGAGGUGAAAUUCGUAGAUAUCGGGAGGAAUACCGGUGGCGAAGGCGACCACCUGGCCAAAUACUGACGCUGAGGUGCGAAAGCGUGGGGAGCAAACAGGAUUAGAUACCCGUGUAGUC